RNAcentral lists this ribosomal RNA (460 nucleotides) under uncultured bacterium. Its description in RNAcentral is "partial 16S ribosomal RNA". It matches the Rfam family "Bacterial small subunit ribosomal RNA", at positions 338 to 795 of the family's 1533-position model. The record is from RNAcentral.
CCUAGGGGAGGCAGCAGUGAGGAAUAUUGGUCAAUGGGCGCGAGCCUGAACCAGCCAAGUAGCGUGAAGGAUGACUGCCCUACGGGUUGUAAACUUCUUUUAUAAAGGAAUAAAGUGAGGCACGUGUGCCUUUUUGUAUGUACUUUAUGAAUAAGGAUCGGCUAACUCCGUGCCAGCAGCCGCGGUAAUACGGGGGGUGCAAGCGUUGUCCGGAAUCAUUGGGCGUAAAGAGUUCGUAGGUGGCACGUUAAGUCUGGUGUUAAAGGCGGAAGCUCAACUUCCGUAGGGCACUGGAUACUGGCGAGCUUGACUGCGGUAGAGGUAAAGGGAAUGCCUGGUGUAGCGGUGAAAUGCGUAGAUAUCAGGAGGAACAUCGGUGGCGUAAGCGCUUUACUGGGCCGUAAUUGACACUGAGGAACGAAAGCCGGGGUAGCAAAUGGGAUUAGAUACCCGAAUAGUC